This 337-nucleotide long non-coding RNA is filed under the name Marmota monax (woodchuck). Lineage: Eukaryota; Metazoa; Chordata; Mammalia; Rodentia; Sciuridae. The record is from RNAcentral.
AGUUGAAACAUUGAUUUCUGAUUUAGUUUGCAUUUAGUGGUUAUUUUUCACAUCUUUAUUCAUAUUCUUGAUUCAGGUAGUCUGCGUUACUGCCAGCAGAUUGGUAUUUUAUAGAGUUUUAGGAUUGUGGUGUAUGUGACUUUGAUAUUAAUUAGGAAAGGAGCUCUAGCACCCAUGUAAUAAUUUAAUUGCAGCAUCCCCAACAUCACUUUUUAACUGUGCCUCAAGUGCAGGAGUCUUGAAGUUCUUGUUUUCUGGGGUGAAUUUUUUGUAUUUCGCUCAGCUGUGUUUGGAUUAGGCAUUUAGUAAAUAGCUGUGGGUUGUGUGCACUCUCCUG